This 496-nucleotide ribosomal RNA is filed under the name uncultured bacterium. RNAcentral's name for it is "bacterial SSU rRNA". It matches the Rfam family "Bacterial small subunit ribosomal RNA", at positions 899 to 1397 of the family's 1533-position model. The record is from RNAcentral.
ACUCAAAGGAAUUGACGGGGGCCCGCACAAGCAGUGGAGUAUGUGGUUUAAUUCGAAGCAACGCGAAGAACCUUACCAGGGCUUGACAUAUACCUGACAGAUAUGGAAACAUAUCCUCCCUUCGGGGCAGGUAUACAGGUGGUGCAUGGUUGUCGUCAGCUCGUGUCGUGAGAUGUUGGGUUAAGUCCCGCAACGAGCGCAACCCCUAUUGUUAGUUGCCAGCAUUUUGGAUGGGCACUCUAGCAAGACUGCCGGUGAUAAAUCGGAGGAAGGUGGGGACGACGUCAAAUCAUCAUGCCCUUUAUGUCCUGGGCUACACACGUACUACAAUGGAUGUAACAAAGAGCAGCAAAGCAGUGAUGCAGAGCGAAACUCAAAAAGCAUCCUCAGUUCGGAUUGAAGGCUGAAAUUCGCCUUCAUGAAGUCGGAAUUGCUAGUAAUGGCAGGUCAGCAUACUGCCGUGAAUACGUUCCCGGGCCUUGUACACACCGCCCGU